This 461-nucleotide transfer-messenger RNA is filed under the name Candidatus Aquivivens invisus. Its description in RNAcentral is "Aquivivens invisus Standard tmRNA". It matches the Rfam family "transfer-messenger RNA". From Rfam's summary of the family: Bacterial tmRNA, also known as 10Sa RNA or SsrA, is named for its dual tRNA and mRNA-like properties. Its role is to liberate the mRNA from a stalled ribosome. The record is from RNAcentral. Lineage: Bacteria; Pseudomonadati; Candidatus Omnitrophota. RNAcentral also lists the same sequence under 1 other name.
GGGGGCGAACAGCAUCGAUUCGGACCUGUGAGUCGUGGGGGGCAUGCCGAGGUGGUCAGGAGGCCUCGUGCCGCAAGGCACCCCCGCGGUUUGAUUUGCACCGCAUUGCGGGGCAAAUCAGCGGGGGGAAAAACCUGACAGCAACACAAAUGCCAACACGUUGGCAUUCAACACCGUUGGAGACCUGGAGAGAAUCUGGGCCGCUGACGGUGUAGAAGUCGCAACCGUCUAACACCGGGUGCGCCGUCUGCGGAGUCAGCCUGCGGGCUCAGUGGACGUCAUCAGCAGGCUGGUCCCGUCUUGGGCGACCGAGGGGCGGGGCGAGGAGCAUUCGGUCGCUGGCCCCGGCCGGCCGGCCAUGCGGACGGGUCGGGGCGAGAGCGGAAACGCACGGCUACGCAUGUAGAGGGCCCACGCUCUCGAUUCGAAGACGCGGGCUGCGAUGCCCGCCGCCUCCACCA